This 580-nucleotide ribosomal RNA is filed under the name uncultured rumen bacterium. Its description in RNAcentral is "bacterial SSU rRNA". It matches the Rfam family "Bacterial small subunit ribosomal RNA", at positions 181 to 764 of the family's 1533-position model. The record is from RNAcentral.
CGAAGCCGCAUGGCUUUGCGGUAAAAGAUUUAUCGGACAGAGAUGGACCCGCGUCUGAUUAGCCAGUUGGCAGGGUAACGGCCUACCAAAGCAACGAUCAGUAGCCGGCCUGAGAGGGCGGACGGCCACAUUGGGACUGAGACACGGCCCAGACUCCUACGGGAGGCAGCAGUGGGGGAUAUUGCACAAUGGAGGAAACUCUGAUGCAGCGACGCCGCGUGAGUGAUGAAGUAUUUCGGUAUGUAAAGCUCUAUCAGCAGGGAAGAAAGGCCCCGAAAGGGGAGAUGACGGUACCUGAGUAAGAAGCCCCGGCUAACUACGUGCCAGCAGCCGCGGUAAUACGUAGGGGGCGAGCGUUAUCCGGAUUUACUGGGUGUAAAGGGAGCGCAGACGGAGAAGCAAGUCUGAUGUGAAAGCCCGCGGCUCAACCGCGGGACUGCAUUGGAAACUGCUUCUCUGGAGUACUGGAAGGGCAAGCGGAAUUCCUGGUGUAGCGGUGAAAUGCGUAGAUAUCAGGAGGAACACCGGUGGCGAAGGCGGCUUGCUGGACAGUAACUGACGUUGAGGCUCGAAAGCGUGG